AUUGAAUUACAGCCCCGUUAGUCCGCGAUACAACCAAGGGAUGAAUUCAACAUCUAUAAAUUCAUGCUCCUCAGGUUAUUUAGAAACCCUAGACUUCACUUAGGCUGUUACUUCCUGCGAGUGUCUGCGCAUUUCUAUCGCUGAAACAAGCCACACGAGUAGCUAGCAAUGGCUGUCACAUUCUAUGAUCUUGGAUCACCGGCCGGCCUCAAGAAGCUUGAUGACUACCUUCUUACUCACAGUUACAUCACUGGGUACCAAGCUUCAAAAGAUGA
Molecule: unclassified non-coding RNA, 275 nt
Filed under: Hevea brasiliensis (rubber tree)
Lineage: Eukaryota; Viridiplantae; Streptophyta; Magnoliopsida; Malpighiales; Euphorbiaceae
Source: RNAcentral